Megalops atlanticus (tarpon) is the source of this 73-nucleotide non-coding RNA. NCBI's taxonomy places the organism in Eukaryota, Metazoa, Chordata, Actinopteri, Elopiformes, Megalopidae. The record is from the annotation of a GenBank genome assembly.
GGCUCCAUAGCUCAGUGGUUAGAGCACUGGUCUUGUGAACCAGGGGUUGUGAGUUUGAUCCUCGCUAGGGCCU